UACGUAGGGGGCAAGCGUUGUCCGGAAUCAUUGGGCGUAAAGAGCUCGUAGGCGGUUUGUCGCGUCUGCUGUGAAAACUCACAGCUCAACUGUGGGCGUGCGGGCGAUACGGGCAGACUGGAGUACUGCAGGGGAGACUGGAAUUCCUGGUGUAGCGGUGGAAUGCGCAGAUAUCAGGAGGAACACCGGUGGCGAAGGCGGGUCUCUGGGCAGUAACUGACGCUGAGGAGCGAAAGCGUGGGGAGCGAACAGG
RNAcentral lists this ribosomal RNA (253 nucleotides) under uncultured bacterium. RNAcentral describes it as "partial 16S ribosomal RNA". It matches the Rfam family "Bacterial small subunit ribosomal RNA", at positions 524 to 776 of the family's 1533-position model. The record is from RNAcentral.